Long non-coding RNA from Oncorhynchus nerka (sockeye salmon), 810 nucleotides. RefSeq lists it as uncharacterized. The record is from RefSeq and is a predicted model, not a curated record. The transcript is spliced from 4 exons. NCBI's taxonomy places the organism in Eukaryota, Metazoa, Chordata, Actinopteri, Salmoniformes, Salmonidae.
UCCGGACCAGGCUGGGGGGACAUUUGGAUGGGCUGGUGCUGGCCCCUAUGGAGGUGGGCUUGGAAGGGGAGGAUAUCCGCACCAGGCUGAGUAUCUGGUUCUAGAAGCCGGUUAAGGGUAGGCAGCUAGCCAAUCAGACAGCGCAGAACCUGCUCCACUGUUUGAUGGAGCUGCACAUGAAGGAAGUCACCAGCAGGGCGGCACCAGAGAUCCGGAUUCUGAACCUGUUCAAGAUUAAGCUGAGUGGUUGACUGUGCAGCGUAACACUAUGUGUUGCAAUUCUCCCCACAUAGGCUCAAGGAGCUCAACCUGGGAUACUCCAACAUCGGAAACAGAGGUCUUAGCAGGCUAGCUCUCUCUCUAUUACACCGCUGUGAAUCUCUUUAUCUGCGAUAUAACUGCCUGGAAAGGGAGGCAGCCAUCCUGGAAUCUGAGGUGUUGAAAUCAAAUGAGUGUCAGGUGAAAAAGCUGUUUAUGUGUGGUAACAACUUGGGUUCGGAAGGGUUUCUGGAGAUGUAGAAUGCCCUGGAGCAGAACACUACGCUGGAGGAACUCUACCUGGACACCACUGGCAUCACAGAGAGAGGAACAGAGAACAUUGUCAACUGCCUAGCAAGAACACCUCUCUGAAAACGCUGACCACCGUGGGGAAUGACAUUAGGGAGGUGGGGAAGAGGAGGCUGAGGGAGCUAGAGCAUCGACGGCCGGGGCUCCAGAUCAUUGGGAACUUUGUGGACGACAUAGGACUGGGUAGAGGAGAUACGGGAUGACCGGCACCAGAUGGACUCAGUGAAGAUCGCAGAUGCCCUA